This 253-nucleotide ribosomal RNA is filed under the name uncultured bacterium. Its description in RNAcentral is "partial 16S ribosomal RNA". It matches the Rfam family "Bacterial small subunit ribosomal RNA", at positions 524 to 776 of the family's 1533-position model. The record is from RNAcentral.
UACGUAGGUGGCAAGCGUUGUCCGGAUUUACUGGGCGUAAAGAGCGCGCAGGCGGUCGUUCAAGUCGCGUGUGAAAGCCCCCGGCUCAACUGGGGAGGGUCACGCGAUACUGAUCGACUCGAAGGCAGGAGAGGGUAGUGGAAUUCCCGGUGUAGUGGUGAAAUGCGCAGAUAUCAGGAGGAACACCCGUGGCGAAAGCGGCUCUCUGGGACGGUACUGACGCUGAGACGCGAAAGCGUGGGGAGCAAACAGG